This 253-nucleotide ribosomal RNA is filed under the name uncultured bacterium. RNAcentral's name for it is "partial 16S ribosomal RNA". It matches the Rfam family "Bacterial small subunit ribosomal RNA", at positions 524 to 776 of the family's 1533-position model. The record is from RNAcentral.
UACGUAGGGGGCAAGCGUUGUCCGGAUUUAUUGGGCGUAAAGAGCGUGUAGGCGGCUUUACAGGUCCGCUGUGAAAACUCGAGGCUCAACCUCGAGCUGUCGGUGGAAACCGUAAAGCUAGAGUCCGGAAGAGGAGAGUGGAAUUCCCGGUGUAGCGGUGAAAUGCGCAGAUAUCGGGAAGAACACCCGUGGCGAAGGCGGCUCUCUGGGACGGUACUGACGCUGAGACGCGAAAGCGUGGGGAGUGAACAGG